GAUGAACGCUGGCGGCGUGCCUAAUACAUGCAAGUCGAGCGAUCAGACGCGGUGCUUGCUCCUCUGACGUGAGCGGCGGACGGGUGAGUAACACGUGGAUAACCUCCCUAUCACUCUGGGUUAACUUCGGGAAACCGGAGCUAAUACUGGAUGAUAUAUUGAACCGCAUGCUUCAUUAGUGAGAGACGGUUUUUCUUUCACUUAUGGAUGGAUUCGCGCCGCAUUAGCUAGUUGGUAGGGUGAUGGCUUACCAAGGCAGCGAGGCGUAGCCGGCCUGAGAGGGUGAUCGGACACACUGAAAGUGAGAGACAGUCCGGACUCAUACGGGAGGGAGCAGGCGGUGAGCUUCAGCGAUGGGCGAGAGCCAGACGGAGCAACGCCGCGUGAGUGAUGAAGGUCUUCGGUUCGGAAAACUCUGUUAUUAGGGAGUAACGAAUGUGUAAGUAACUAUGCACGUCUUGACGGUACCUAAUCAGAGAGCCGCGGCUAACUUCGUG
Molecule: ribosomal RNA, 497 nt
Filed under: uncultured bacterium
Lineage: Bacteria
Description: partial 16S ribosomal RNA
Rfam family: Bacterial small subunit ribosomal RNA
Source: RNAcentral